This 253-nucleotide ribosomal RNA is filed under the name uncultured bacterium. RNAcentral's name for it is "partial 16S ribosomal RNA". It matches the Rfam family "Bacterial small subunit ribosomal RNA", at positions 524 to 776 of the family's 1533-position model. The record is from RNAcentral.
UACGUAGGGGGCAAGCGUUGUCCGGAUUUAUUGGGCGUAAAGAGCGUGUAGGCGGCCAGACAGGUCUGCUGUGAAAACUCGAGGCUCAACCUCGAGACGCCGGUGGAAACCGUUUGGCUAGAGUCCGGAAGAGGAGAGUGGAAUUCCUGGUGUAGCGGUGAAAUGCGCAGAUAUCAGGAAGAACACCCGUGGCUAAGGCGGCAUUCUGGACUGCAACUGACACUGAUGAACGAAAGCCAGGGGAGCAAACGGG